GAUGAACGCUGGCGGCGUGCCUAAUACAUGCAAGUCGAGCGAACAGACAAGGAGCUUGCUCCUCUGACGUUAGCGGCGGACGGGUGAGUAACACGUGGAUAACCUACCUAUAAGACUGGGAUAACUUCGGGAAACCGGAGCUAAUACCGGAUAAUAUAUUGAACCGCAUGGUUCAAUAGUGAAAGACGGUUUUGCUGUCACUUAUAGAUGGAUCCGCGCCGCAUUAGCUAGUUGGUAAGGUAACGGCUUACCAAGGCAACGAUGCGUAGCCGACCUGAGAGGGUGUUCGGCCACACUGGAACUGAGACACGGUCCAGACUCCUACGGGAGGCAGCAGUAGGGAAUCUUCCGCAAUGGGCGAAAGCUUGACGGAGCAACGCCGCGUGAGUGAUGAAGGUCUUCGGAUCGUAAACCUCUGUUAUUAGGGAAGAACAAAUGUGUAAGUAACUAUGCACGUCUUGACGGUACCUAAUCAGAAAGCCACGGCUAACUACGUG
This 497-nucleotide ribosomal RNA is filed under the name uncultured bacterium. RNAcentral describes it as "partial 16S ribosomal RNA". It matches the Rfam family "Bacterial small subunit ribosomal RNA", at positions 28 to 507 of the family's 1533-position model. The record is from RNAcentral.